RNAcentral lists this ribosomal RNA (213 nucleotides) under Triticum aestivum (bread wheat). RNAcentral's name for it is "partial small subunit ribosomal RNA". The record is from RNAcentral. Lineage: Eukaryota; Viridiplantae; Streptophyta; Magnoliopsida; Poales; Poaceae.
AUGAAUCUACUUAGCUGGAACUGCCGGGGUGGGGGGAAUAUCCGGACAGUUUGAGAAGUGGCGACUUUCAUUAAGUCACAUUCCCCCAUUUUGGUAUUUUUGUGUGAAACAAGGCAGCCCAAGGAUAAAAUGAAGAAACAUCGGUCAAAUUUUGGCUUGGAGGGUUUUGAUGGAGUUGAUAGCAUUGGCAAUAGUGGUGGUUUGGCUUUGUAU